AUCCGAUUGGCCUGAUCUCGCGCGACACACCUCCAAUCCCCCUGUCAAUCCCGCCGCCUCCUCCCUCGCGACGCGCUCCCCCACUCCUCCCUCCUCCCUCCUAGGCGAUGGCCGACGGAUCCAGCAGUGGUGCCGGCGCCGGUGCCGGUGGCUCGUCUCCCCACUUGUGCGCGGCGGCGACGGCGGCGACUCGGCCCUGCCGCCGCUGCAUCGCACGGCGUUCGGCGUGGUCGAGGCCGCUCGAGGCCGUCGACUUCGGCGCCCACGCUGGCACGCACCGGCGGCUCGGCGUUGAGGACCACAUCACCUUCCAUCCCUCCCUUCCCCAAUCCCCUUCGGCCAUCCGCAUCGCGCCGCCCUCCGAAUCCUCGCUCCUUCCCUCCACGCUUCCUUCCUCGGCGGAGGGCGAGCAUCCAGAGCCAUCGAUAGGGGCGGAAGCGGAGCAGCAGAUGUGGUGGACCCGAGUUCCCCGUUCGCAUCGCCUGCCAUCCCGAUCCUUGCUCCCCCGGACUAAGAGUAGGGGUCUGAGCGGCGGCGGGCCGGAGUUCGGUCCUACAGGAGCUUCUGCAGAUGGAUCGAAGUCCUAGCAAUAGCCUAUGCGCAUGCGGAAGGGGAUGGAGGGUCCGCUGGCUGCGCUGGGCGUGUGACGAUGCUCUUCGUGCAGUAUUCCCGGCCAACAUCUGCUUGAUGAAAUGCGAUAACUUGAAGGCUCUUGCUGAUCCCUGCAUCGACUGUGAACUCAUGGUACGAUGAUCAUCUUGAUUGAUCUGAUCCUGCAGAAGACAAGGGCGUACCACCAUAUUCUGUUUAAUAAGCUUAGCAUGUGGGAUUAUCUGUUGACAAGGUAUGAAUCUAUGAUGUUCAGACAGAUUAACAUUCCAUCCUCACUGGUGUUCUUAUUGGCAUUUGAGGCAAUUAGUUUGCUAAAUAUGUAAUUGGUACUGCUGAGCUACCAUUUCAUUGUUUGCACAUGGUCAUGUAAUAGUUAUAAUGCACCUUUUUUUGUACAUCGGUGCAUAUACUAGAGUAAAAUGGUUCCUGGAUAAUGUGGAAAAGAAUCUGGCCAAUAUAUAUAUGUUUAUAUCUAGGAUAUAUUUAUUCUGGCUUUGUUUUCUGGAUAAUCCUCUCUUUGUUUUCUGACUUAGCGGGCAUUGCUCUGUAGUAUGUUGUUCAAGUAAUAAAGGAAUAUAAUUCACAAGGUGAAGAAUUCUAUCACAAUGUACCCAUUCAAUUGCCCAAUGCCCGUGUCAUCUGUUUGUUGUCUUCUCAGGUUAGUGGAUAUGUCUGUAAGACAACUAGCAUCAAAGAUGGUGUAAAUCAGUUUGAUCUUUGGCAGAGGAAGCAGUAGCUUGUUUUCAGGCAUUGGUUGACUUUCUAUGCUCCCUUAUGAGCAGCAAUGAUGAUGGAAGAAUAAUUGUUGCAAAGCAAAAGCUCAAUCAACAACCUGAAGAAGCAUAUCUUAAAUUUGUGAUGCUUUGUGCGGAAAAAUAUUUUCAGAGAUACUAUACCUUGACAUUUUGUGUUGCUGAAAGGAUAUGCCGUAGCUACUUAUGAGUUUUUGUUCAUUACCUGUUGCAGGUCACUCGAGAUGCUUAUGCUGUUAUCCUGGCUGGUGGAAACCUCCAGCCUAUUGAAGAAACUAGGCUACGCUUGUGUCCAAGCUUACCACCAGCUGAUAUAAAAUUCUUUCAGGCAAGUAUAAAAUUUCACAAGCCCUGAAUUUUGCUUUCUUAACAGUUCUUGUUGGUGUUAAUUUCUGGUUCUUGCCUAUGAGUGUGUUGGAACAACUGGUUAUUGCAUGAGCAGCGUGCAUUAUUACAAUUGGUCACUUCUUUUUACCUGUACCUAUCAGUGCGGGAUGUGCUUGUUGCACCAGCUGGUUCUUUCUUAGAUGGUUCUCUGAAAGUGCUAAAUUUUGUAAGAUUCAGGUUUUUUCUGUGGUUACAUAAUCUUUAUUUUAUUUCAAGGUUUACUCUUAGAUGUACAAUAUUUAUUUGGUUUAGGAUUUAUUCUUAUUUCAGAAUUGUUAUUUUUAUUUCAGAUUCUCCAGUGUAGAUUUUUUUUUGCUGUACAGUGUGUAACUGAUGUAAAAUAUAUCAAUGUAUUUUAGUGUCAUGAAUUUUUUUAAGUUCCAUAUUAGGCCUCCAAUGGAUAGCAACAUUGAGUGGAGGAUAGAGGAAGGCAAAAGGCAGCUCGCUAAAAAAUAUUUCUUGUGUUGUUUGUCGAUGAAUUAUAUUACUACUAGAUUCUUCUAUUUUUCCUUCAUAGUCUUAUUGAGGUCAGUUCAGUAAUAGAACAUGCCUGGUAUGAUAAGAAUUUUUUUUGUGAUUUAAGUAGCUGAACUUUUAUAUUUUAUUCAUCAAAACUACUACACACGGUUUCUUAGUAUAAAUGAAGCCCUAAUUUAUUUAUAGAAAAAUUCAGGCAUUGAACCCAGUCUAUUUAAGGUUCAAGCAUUUAUAGAAAAACUACUACACCUGAAUUAAGGUUCGGGGGGCACACUUUGCUAAUGUGCAGAUUCAUAGCAAGGUUGUGAAACAUGUAAUUUUAAACCCAAUCUAUUUAAAUCAGGUUCUCCCAAUUAUUUACAUGGAUUAUUUUUCUGCCCCUAUAUUUCAGAAUCUUACCCUAUUGUCAAAGAGGUCUACUGUCUAAUAGACCAAUAUUUUUCAGAUGUCAUGGCAAGGAGGGGCCAAGGUCUGGUGCUACUGCCAGGACAUCAUAUUAGAUUGUAAUUUCAGUGAGAUCAUGUAGUGUGAUGUGAGAAAUGUCUUCUUCAUCCAUUGCCAUGGAUGGAUGGCAGACCAAAAGGCAGUACUCGUGGGGUUGUAACACUUUUAUAAUGUUCUAUCCAAUUCAAGCUUUUAAAUUUAUUACUUUGCGAGAAACCAAACUACCGAGUUGUACUCACAUUUUCUUAUCCCAAAGAAGGAACCAAGUUGAACAAGGUUCCUCUUCUUCGUCAUUUAAACGUUUGUUGAUUGUUAUGUGCGUGGAUUUGUUGGAUGGACACAACACACAACCUUAUUAAAGAUACAUAUAAUAUAAUGUGUGGAUGAAAAUAAUUAUGGUA
Panicum virgatum (switchgrass) is the source of this 3073-nucleotide RNA transcript. It is a transcript of the gene named protein ARV 2-like, with no coding region annotated. The transcript has 4 exons. NCBI's taxonomy places the organism in Eukaryota, Viridiplantae, Streptophyta, Magnoliopsida, Poales, Poaceae. The record is from RefSeq and is a predicted model, not a curated record.